CUCAUCUGCUCUGUGUCUGGUUAGCAAGAAGAGCCUAAUAAGAUACCAGGUUUCAUAUCUUGGUUCAACCCAGCUCUCUAGAGAAGUGCUCCACCCCAGACUUUCCCUGGGAAAGUGGGAAUCUUGGGCUAUUUGCAUAGAUACUGUAGGGACUGAAAUAUAGCAAGUGUUCUGAGAAGGGGAAUCAUCAUUGGAAAAAAUGAAUCAAAGGAUUAGAUAUGACUGAACCCAGUGGGCAAGCAGAGCUGGCCGAACUCAAGAGACCAAAGGCAGACUGGAACUCAGAAAAGUGUCUUACAGAAGUACAGGG
Molecule: long non-coding RNA, 310 nt
Filed under: Fukomys damarensis (Damara mole-rat)
Lineage: Eukaryota; Metazoa; Chordata; Mammalia; Rodentia; Bathyergidae
Description: lncRNA (ENSFDAG00000022074.1)
Source: RNAcentral